RNAcentral lists this ribosomal RNA (433 nucleotides) under uncultured bacterium. RNAcentral describes it as "partial 16S ribosomal RNA". It matches the Rfam family "Bacterial small subunit ribosomal RNA", at positions 29 to 507 of the family's 1533-position model. The record is from RNAcentral.
AACGAACGCUGGCGGCAUGCCUAACACAUGCAAGUCGAACGAGACCUUCGGGUCUAGUGGCGCACGUGUGCGUAACGCGUGGGAACCUGCCCUUAGGUUCGGAAUAACUCACCGAAAGGGGUGCUAAUACCGGUUAAUGUCUUCGGACCAAAGAUGUAUCGCCUUUGGAUGGGCCCGCGUUGGAUUAGCUAGUUGGUAGUGUAAAAGCCUACCAAGGCGACGAUGCAUAGCUGGUCUGAUAGGAUGACCAGCCACACUGGGACUGAGACACGGCCCAGACCCCGACGGAAGGCAGCAGUGGAGAAUAUUGGACAAUGAGCGAAAGCCUGAUACAGCAAUGCCGCGUGAGUGAUGAAGGCCUUAGGGUUGUAAAGCUCUUUUACCCGGGAUGAUAAUGACAGUACCGGGAGAAUAAGCUCCGGCUAACUCCGUG